UUGCUUCAGCAGCACAUAUGAUAAAAUUAAAAUGAUACAGAGAAGAUUAGCGUGGCCCCUGUGCAAGGAUGACGUGCAAAUUCGUAAAGUGUUCCACAUUAAC
Small nuclear RNA from Tupaia belangeri (northern tree shrew), 103 nucleotides. The record is from Ensembl. Lineage: Eukaryota; Metazoa; Chordata; Mammalia; Scandentia; Tupaiidae.